GGCCCAUGGCUGUGUAGCCCCAGCUACACAUAUUUUGCCACAUCCAGGGCAAGCAUAACCAUUGUCCGCAGGUGGUCGAUUGAGAUUUUCUUUUCGCCGUCUGCGUUUGUCCUGGGCAGCAGAUUUCUUUUGGUCUCAAAUGUGUACCCCGCGGCCUUCAUGGGUGACUUCCAGCUGUCUCGUUCUAAGAACGCAUGCAACCAGUCAGACAGAGGAAGUAAUGGGAAGACAACACAAAAGAAUGGACGAGCCUGCCAUUGAAAGAGGUUCUAUCCAAGGCAAAAUUCAGAGAAGAUUGGAGAAAGUCGGUCGACAAAUCUUACAUGGUGCCCCAACGGCCCAACGGACUAAGGGAUAGUUGAUGGUGAAGUAACUCUUGAAAUUUGGUCCUUAAAAAAAAUAUGGCGACAAGUUUUAAUUGUGAAUUUGAGACUCAACAAAUGAUACAAAAGAGGAACAUAUCUGUUAGACUUAAUGACGACAAAGAGAUAGAAAUUUCUUUAGAUAUUAGAAAACUGGAGAAAAAAACUUCAACAGGUGGAGAUUUGAUGGCUUCAGUUCUGGAUGCACUCGAUCCAGACACGACAAACACAAUUUCCAAAGACCCACGACUGUACCACGUUGUGAAUGGAGAGGAGAACUUCAUUUCAAAAGAACAAAACAUCGAAGCAGUUCUGAUUUGUUUUCAGGAACCUGAUCCAUUCGUCUUAAAAAUUCGAUUUUAGAAAUAAAAAUGAUGAAAACAGACAAGUCAUUUGAAUGUGAAUGUCUAUUAAAGACUUGGAGAAGAAUCUAUUUCAACUUCGAAGUUCAUCAACUAAGUCCAACACAGUGUAAUAUGGGAAGCAGAGAAAUAAAUGUAAAUUAUGGAAAGCUUAUGUGUGUGAAUAUUCGAGUACAAUUUAAUUAUAAGUCAAAUAAAAAUGUGUAUGCACACUUACGA
Molecule: RNA transcript, 943 nt
Organism: Biomphalaria glabrata
Lineage: Eukaryota; Metazoa; Mollusca; Gastropoda; Planorbidae
Exons: 6
Source: RefSeq, a predicted model, not a curated record